UACCAGCACCCCGAGUGGUCGGGACGAUUAUUGGGCCUAAAGCAUCCGUAGCCGGUCCUGCAAGUCUUCCGUUAAAUCCAGCUGCUCAACAGAUGGGCUGCGGGGGGAUACUACAGGGCUAGGAGGCGGGAGAGGCAAGCGGUACUUUAUGGGUAGGGGGUAAAAUCCGUUGAUCCAUAGAAGACCACCAGUGGCGAAGGCGGCUUGCCAGAAUGCGCUCGACGGUGAGGGAUGAAAGCUGGGGGGAGCAAACCGG
Molecule: ribosomal RNA, 256 nt
Filed under: uncultured bacterium
Lineage: Bacteria
Description: partial 16S ribosomal RNA
Rfam family: Archaeal small subunit ribosomal RNA
Source: RNAcentral